Molecule: long non-coding RNA, 371 nt
Organism: Ctenocephalides felis (cat flea)
Lineage: Eukaryota; Metazoa; Arthropoda; Insecta; Siphonaptera; Pulicidae
Exons: 3
Source: RefSeq, a predicted model, not a curated record
CUCAUGAAAUGUGCCAAACCAGGAGUUGUCAUCAACGGUGUCCAACACCACAGAUUUGUGCCAGGAAUGCCCAUCAGACAAUUUCGCCUUCGACACUCAUGUGAGUAGGACAACUAAUGUGAAUGAAAUCAGACAAAGAUUAUUUUGUAAACCAGAAAUUGAUAAAAGAAGCCAAAUUGUUGACUUCGACUCUGCCAGAAGACUUGUGCAGAACGAGCAAUGUGCUGCCUGGCAUUUGAAGAGCCAACCUGUGUCGCGUCGGUGCAUACCGAACCCUGUGAAUCGUACCGAACUGCACAUCGAAGGAUUCUCGCCGGAUUCACUGAGGAAGGCAUUGCGAAACGUCAAGCGAAUGGCAAGGGCGAACGAGG